ACGAACGCUGGCGGCGUGCCUAAUACAUGCAGGUAGAACGCACAGUUUAUACCGUAGCUUGCUACACCAUAGACUGUGAGUUGCGAACGGGUGAGUAACGCGUAGGUAACCUGCCUGGUAGCGGGGGAUAACUAUUGGAAACGAUAGCUAAUACCGCAUAAUAUUAAUUAUUGCAUGAUAAUUAAUUGAAAGGUGCAAUUGCACCACUACCAGAUGGACCUGCGUUGUAUUAGCUAGUAGGUGAGGUAACGGCUCACCUAGGCGACGAUACAUAGCCGACCUGAGAGGGUGAUCGGCCACACUGGGACUGAGACACGGCCCAGACUCCUACGGGAGGCAGCAGUAGGGAAUCUUCGGCAAUGGACGAAAGUCUGACCGAGCAACGCCGCGUGAGUGAAGAAGGUUUUCGGAUCGUAAAGCUCUGUUGUAAGAGAAGAACGGGUGUGAGAGUGGAAAGUUCACACUGUGACGGUAUCUUACCAGAAAGGGACGGCUAACUACGUG
Molecule: ribosomal RNA, 504 nt
Filed under: uncultured bacterium
Lineage: Bacteria
Description: partial 16S ribosomal RNA
Rfam family: Bacterial small subunit ribosomal RNA
Source: RNAcentral